UGGUCUUAUUCAGAUCUCUCCGUAGGGCAGUCAGACUUGGGUCGAAUAUAAAAACAUUCAAUAAAUUGUGCAUGUUGUCAAGAUAUAUGAACUUGAAAAUGAAGGAAAAGGUAUUUGGACCCAAAACGCUCUAAGCUAGUUGGAGUGUUUCUGACGGGCCUGAGAGUUUGGACAAGACAAAUUCUCCAGAGGUCAAGCAAGGCAGAUCAAAUGAUGGAUUCAUCUGCCUGAAGGCUGCUGCAUUUCAUACUCUUUAAAGUGUGAAAUACUCUUUACUAACAGUGUUCAGCAGACGGUGUAAUGCUGAAGAUGUUAAUUGGCAGCAAGUAGUUUUGCAUCGAACCACUUCAGAAAUGUAUAUAACAGACAUGAGGCUUUUUUUUAAUUAGUUACACCAUGAAUGGUUUGUAUUAUGGGAUGUAUUACGGGAUGCAUGGGUACACAACAAGAAGAGACUAAAUACAAACUGCACUGUUUUUGAAGUUUCAGACAUUUUACCAGUAAACGUUCCCAACUAUUUAACAGCCAGAUUUACACCAUGUUUACAUGUUUAGAUUGCAACCAGCAUCUCUUCAGUAUGAUCAGUAUUUGACUUUCAUUAGAAAUGCAAAUCUUCCCCUUAGUAACAACUAUUUUUUUACAGCACUUUGUUUGUGCCAAAUGUGAGAAACCUUUCCUCGGUCACCGCCAUUAUGAGAGAAAAGGUUUGGCUUACUGUGAGACGCAUUACAAUCAGCUCUUUGGGGACGUGUGUUAUCACUGCAACCGUGUGAUUGAAGGCGAUGUUGUGUCUGCUCUCAACAAAGCCUGGUGUGUCACUUGUUUCUCCUGCUCCACCUGCAACACCAAGCUCACUCUCAAGUAAGUCUUAAUAUGUUAAUUGAUGCAAACCAUAAAAUCUAGUCACAUGCAACUCUUCCACCUCAUGUUUGUUGUGCUCUUACUUUUCUUUAACACUUUUCACGUGCCUUAAAACAAGAAGAGUUUUCAUGGGAAUGGCUUCUAUAUUACAACUUGCAUCUUCACUCAGAAUAGUGUCCGUGUUUGAAGCUCAAAUCCUUUGAGCUUUAAUGCCUCUGUAUUAUUCAAUUGACUAAUUGUAAUUUUUAGAAACAUCUUCAAGUCUUCAAAGUAUUGCAUAAAAUUGGUAUCAUUAAUGAAUAUAACAAAUCAAAUUGGGAAAUUAACAGUGGUGUAAAAUUCAUGGGUUUUGUGUUAUAUUUCAAAAUCUAAUAAUGUAUGCUGUCUGAAUGUGGUUAUGUAUUGUAAAUGCCUAGAAUUGUUGAAUAUUUCUGUAUUAAUUAACAUAA
Molecule: long non-coding RNA, 1310 nt
Organism: Xiphophorus couchianus (Monterrey platyfish)
Lineage: Eukaryota; Metazoa; Chordata; Actinopteri; Cyprinodontiformes; Poeciliidae
Exons: 3
Source: RefSeq, a predicted model, not a curated record